This 187-nucleotide microRNA precursor is filed under the name Pelobates cultripes (western spadefoot toad). The record is from RNAcentral. Lineage: Eukaryota; Metazoa; Chordata; Amphibia; Anura; Pelobatidae.
GGUUUAUGAAGCAGUGUGGUAUAGACCAGGGCUGUCCAACCUGCGGCCCCCCAGAUGUUGCUGAACUACAACUCUCAUGAUUCCCUGGCUAUCUUUUUAAUUGAAAGAAUCAUGGGAGUUGUAGUUCAGCAACAUCUGGGGGGCCGCAGGUUGGACAGCCCUGGUAUAGACCAUGCUCCUGUAGUCU